GGAGAGGUGGGUGAGUGGCUGAAACCAGUUCCCUGCUAAGGAACCAUAUGGGUAACCGUAUCGCGGGUUCGAAUCCCGCCCUCUCCG
RNAcentral lists this transfer RNA (87 nucleotides) under Alloalcanivorax dieselolei B5. RNAcentral describes it as "Alcanivorax dieselolei B5 tRNA". It matches the Rfam family "tRNA". Rfam says of the family: Transfer RNA (tRNA) molecules are approximately 80 nucleotides in length. The record is from Rfam by way of RNAcentral. Lineage: Bacteria; Pseudomonadati; Pseudomonadota; Gammaproteobacteria; Oceanospirillales; Alcanivoracaceae.